Molecule: small nucleolar RNA, 229 nt
Organism: Cherax quadricarinatus
Lineage: Eukaryota; Metazoa; Arthropoda; Malacostraca; Decapoda; Parastacidae
Product: small nucleolar RNA SNORA53
Source: RefSeq, a predicted model, not a curated record
AGCAUGCUCCUUAGAUCCACCUGAUGGGACCUAGUCCACCAACUUUAUUGGUUGGUUAUCGUCGGUGUAUGAGUCAUUGGCAUGCAAGACUAUUAUACCUCCUUCUGCCAGUUAGCCUCACCAUCCACACCUAGCCGCCCUGUCCUGGCUAGGAUAGAGAGAGAUUGCCUUGUCUGCAGUUGCUCUUGUUGUGACUUAUGCUGGUGUAAAGGCUGGUGUUGGGGACAAA